This 468-nucleotide ribosomal RNA is filed under the name uncultured bacterium. Its description in RNAcentral is "partial 16S ribosomal RNA". It matches the Rfam family "Bacterial small subunit ribosomal RNA", at positions 28 to 507 of the family's 1533-position model. The record is from RNAcentral.
GACGAACGCUGGCGGCGUGCCUAAUACAUGCAAGUCGAACGGACAGGCCCUGCUCUUGUUGCGUGCUCGAGAGGCGCAGGGGUGAGUAACACGUGAGUAACACGCCCCUAUCUUUGGGGUAACUUCAGGAAAAUGGGGCUCAUAUAGGAUAUGAGCUCCUGCUGCAUGGUGGGGGAUGGAAAGUUUCGGCGGUUGGGGCUGUACUCGCGGCGUAUCAGCUUGUUGGUGGGGUUGUGGCUUACCAAGGUUUUGACGGGUAGCCGGCCUGAGAGGGUGACCGGCCACAUUGAGACUGAGAGACGGCCGAGACUCCUACGGGAGGCAGCAGUGGGGAAUAUUGCACAAUGGACGGAAGCCUGAUGCAGCAACGCCGCGUGCGGGAUAACGGCCUUCGGGUUGAAAACCGCUUGCGCCUGUAACGAAGCGUGAGUGACGGUAAUGGAUAAAGAAGCACCGGCUAACUACGUG